Long non-coding RNA from Olea europaea var. sylvestris, 738 nucleotides. RefSeq lists it as uncharacterized. The transcript has 3 exons. NCBI's taxonomy places the organism in Eukaryota, Viridiplantae, Streptophyta, Magnoliopsida, Lamiales, Oleaceae. The record is from RefSeq and is a predicted model, not a curated record.
AUUAGUGAUUAAAAUAUUCCCCCAAAAUUUCAUUCCCUCUCUUGCCGCCUUCAAUCUUCUUUGCCUCCAAAAAAUAUUCCCCCAAAAUUAUUCAAUUCCCUCCCUUUGAGAGAGUUGCUUAAUACCCUCCUUUUGAGAGAGUUGCUUAAUCCGCCCAAAUCUAAUUUCUCCAAUUGAUGCACAGUAUAUUGAUCAUCAAGAAAUUUCGGCUUCAUCUACAGAUUUUUGUGAUAUUCUUCAAUUGAUGCCCUCUUUGCAAUAAGCUCUUCCGCGCCCACAUACGUACGAACUUCGAGCUAGAUUUAAAAGACUCGAGAUUGACAAAUUAUAUAAAUAGACUAUAUAAUGGGAGGUAUAGAGAGUUUAAGGUUGAGUUGAGUGCAUACUAAAAGUUGCAAAAGACACAUGAGAAUGCAUUAGCCAAUCCCAUUUGGAGAUGCUCGAUAGACGUGUAAAUCAGUGGGUGGACCUAUGAAAUCACUUGAACUCCAAUAAGUUCAAGAAAGCAUCAUCAGCAAACAUAGUGAAUCGAUCAAAGAAGUACAAUCAUCGUACUGGUUCACGUUCUUUAGAUGUAACUAUAUUUGGUGAAUGUCAUUUAUUCGCUUCAUGUGUAGAAGUAACUUUAGUAGACGAAUUAUUUUGUCGGAGGAAAACUUACGCGACGAAUUGUAUUUGUCUCCAAAGGAUUCGUAAGAAAAAAUCUUAGCCCACAAAUUUCAAAAAUUUGUUGUCUCA